RNAcentral lists this ribosomal RNA (497 nucleotides) under uncultured bacterium. Its description in RNAcentral is "partial 16S ribosomal RNA". It matches the Rfam family "Bacterial small subunit ribosomal RNA", at positions 28 to 507 of the family's 1533-position model. The record is from RNAcentral.
GAUGAACGCUGGCGGCGUGCCUAAUACAUGCAAGUCGAGCGAACAGACGAGGAGCUUGCUCCUCUGACGUUAGCGGCGGACGGGUGAGUAACACGUGGAUAACCUACCUAUAAGACUGGGAUAACCUCGGGAAACCGGAGCUAAUACCGGAUAAUAUAUUGAACCGCAUGGUUCAAUAGUGAAAGACGGUUUUGCUGUCACUUAUAGAUGGAUCCGCGCCGCAUUAGCUAGUUGGUAAGGUAACGGCUUACCAAGGCAACGAUGCGUAGCCGACCUGAGAGGGUGAUCGGCCACACCGGAACUGAGACACGGUCCAGACUCCUACGGGAGGCAGCAGUAGGGAAUCUUCCGCAAUGGGCGAAAGCUUGACGGAGCAACGCCGCGUGAGUGAUGAAGGUCUUCGGAUCGUAAAACUCUGUUAUUAGGGAAGAACAAAUGUGUAAGUAACUAUGCACGUCUUGACGGUACCUAAUCAGAAAGCCACGGCUAACUACGUG